UUCUUUCGAGUCUGUAGUUGCGGGCUUUCCACGAAGGCCCUAGUCCAUGGCAGAUGCGGUCGAAAGGAUCCACGUAAGUCCCGCGGCGCGUCCGCGAAGGCGAGCACGGCGUAUCCUAGAGGUAAGACGCACCCUCCGUUUAUACGAGCGGCAUACCGUCGCGACGGGGGAGAGGGUGGCGCGAAAGCCAAGCCCCGGUGCGCGAGUGUGGGGUCGAAAACUAGGUCAGUCGGAAGAA
Molecule: non-coding RNA, 238 nt
Filed under: Senegalimassilia anaerobia JC110
Lineage: Bacteria; Bacillati; Actinomycetota; Coriobacteriia; Coriobacteriales; Coriobacteriaceae
Also listed under: 1 other name
Description: Coriobacteriaceae bacterium JC110 raiA RNA
Rfam family: raiA RNA
Source: Rfam by way of RNAcentral